Molecule: unclassified non-coding RNA, 201 nt
Filed under: Hevea brasiliensis (rubber tree)
Lineage: Eukaryota; Viridiplantae; Streptophyta; Magnoliopsida; Malpighiales; Euphorbiaceae
Source: RNAcentral
CGUCCGGGAGGGAUGCAGGACAGGAUCGGGCGCAGCCGGGGCGGAAGCGAGGGAAGAGUCCGGCUGAUAAGGAGCAUAAGAGGCUUAAGAGGUUGCUGAGGAACCGGGUGUCGGCGCAGCAGGCGAGGGAGAGGAAGAAGGCGUAUCUGAGUGAGCUGGAGGCGAAGGUGAAGGAUUUGGAGGUAAAGAACACAGAGCUGG